CGGACGGGUGAGUAACACGUGGAUAACCUACCUAUAAGACUGGGAUAACUUCGGGAAACAGGAGCUAAUACCGGAUAAUAUAUUGAACCGCAUGGUUCAAUAGUGAAAGACGGUUUUGCUGUCACUUAUAGAUGGAUCCGCGCCGCAUUAGCUAGUUGGUAAGGUAACGGCUUACCAAGGCAACGAUGCGUAGCCGACCUGAGAGGGUGAUCGGCCACACUGGAACUGAGACACGGUCCAGACUCCUACGGGAGGCAGCAGCU
This 263-nucleotide ribosomal RNA is filed under the name uncultured Staphylococcus sp. Its description in RNAcentral is "partial 16S ribosomal RNA". It matches the Rfam family "Bacterial small subunit ribosomal RNA", at positions 99 to 355 of the family's 1533-position model. Lineage: Bacteria; Bacillati; Bacillota; Bacilli; Caryophanales; Staphylococcaceae. The record is from RNAcentral.